RNAcentral lists this ribosomal RNA (479 nucleotides) under uncultured bacterium. RNAcentral's name for it is "partial 16S ribosomal RNA". It matches the Rfam family "Bacterial small subunit ribosomal RNA", at positions 28 to 506 of the family's 1533-position model. The record is from RNAcentral.
GAUGAACGCUGGCGGCGUGCUUAACACAUGCAAGUCGAACGGAACUACUCCAAUGAGAGUCUUCGGAAAGGAUUUGGUUUAGUUUAGUGGCGGACGGGUGAGUAACGCGUGGGUAACCUGCCCUAUACAGGGGGAUAACAGUUGGAAACGACUGUUAAUACCGCAUAAGCGCACAGGAGCGCAUGCUCCGGUGUGAAAAACUCCGGUGGUAUAGGAUGGACCCGCGUCUGAUUAGCUGGUUGGCGGGGUAACGGCCCACCAAGGCGACGAUCAGUAGCCGGCCUGAGAGGGUGAACGGCCACAUUGGGACUGAGACACGGCCCAAACUCCUACGGGAGGCAGCAGUGGGGAAUAUUGCACAAUGGGGGAAACCCUGAUGCAGCGACGCCGCGUGAGCGAAGAAGUAUCUCGGUAUGUAAAGCUCUAUCAGCAGGGAAGAAAAUGACGGUACCUGACUAAGAAGCCCCGGCUAACUACGU